This is a microRNA precursor of Cebus imitator (Panamanian white-faced capuchin), 78 nucleotides long. The record is from Ensembl. NCBI's taxonomy places the organism in Eukaryota, Metazoa, Chordata, Mammalia, Primates, Cebidae.
AGGUUGGUGCAAAAGUAAUUGUGGAUUUUGACAUUACUUUAGAUGGCAGAAACUUCAAUUGCUUUUGCACCAGCCUAA